Chrysemys picta bellii (western painted turtle) is the source of this 615-nucleotide non-coding RNA. The record is from RefSeq and is a predicted model, not a curated record. NCBI's taxonomy places the organism in Eukaryota, Metazoa, Chordata, Testudines, Emydidae.
UUUCUGAGGUGACUAAAAGGGAGAACAGAGCCCCUGAGAAAUCCCAAUACCAGUCAGUUCUAAUGCAAUGGCUUUGGGAUUAACGAACUCUCUCUUUCACAGCCAUAUCGUCUACUCCCGUGGAGUGUUGCUUUAAUUACAUGACUGGAGCCAUUCAGCUUGCUAAACUGGUGGAUUUCUACAAUACCCCCCGCGAGUGUCACUUACCAGCUGUUGUGUUGGAGACGGUUGCUGACCGCAAGGUCUGUGCUGACCCCUCAAAGCCUUGGGUGAAGAGGGCAAUCAGAGUCUUGGAGGCAAAGAGGAAACAAACCUCACUUUCUUAGAACCACAGAUAAACACUCCACCCCACAGCCACGCCAGACCCAAUUGCCUCCGGUUGUCUCUGCACAUUUCCUGUCUUCAUUCCACAUACCUCACUGGACUGUUCUUGUUUCAGCACUGACAGACAGACAGCUCAGUCCUGACAGAGUGAGCGAGCUCUGUGCACUUACAGAAGGACACACUGUGCACUACAGCCAAAGACAUUGUGUUUCAGACUGUAAGUGUCCUUGCAAGAACACCCACAAGCUGUAACAGACGCAUAUAUAAUAAAGCUUCAUUGCUACUCUGCAA